Molecule: long non-coding RNA, 559 nt
Filed under: Malus domestica (apple)
Lineage: Eukaryota; Viridiplantae; Streptophyta; Magnoliopsida; Rosales; Rosaceae
Description: long non-coding RNA (MDOM_LNC014651)
Source: RNAcentral
CGUUUAUCUCAUUAAGUGUUUUUUGUAUGUAUAAUUUCCUUUUUUUGAGUUACAAGGAGGCUCAAAGGCCGAGCAAAACGCUAAACAAAAAAAACAAAAAAUUCAUCAACUAAAAUGAUUUACACAAAUAGCAGAAUUCCUAGCAACCCUAAUUGAAUAGUUGGAUGAGGAGGUUCAUCAAACACAACACAUCCAAAGUUCAACAAUAAAACUUAUUUGAAACUACUUUUAAAAUAUCUAAAAGGGUUUUUGGUGAAAAUAUCUUUAUAAUCAAUUCUUAAUAAAAAUAUGAGUGAAUCUUGAAAAAACACUCCUAAUACUUUAAAACCCAAAAAUAUUUUUAAAGCAUUUUCAUUUAUUUUAAAAAUAUUUUCAAACGAAACCAGCCUCAUCAAACCAUCAUCCACCAAAUUUCUUUCUGUCUGACUCAGUUCACAUUGAUCAAACCAAGAGACACGUCAGAUGACAAAUAAUGAUGAUCCAAUUCCAUUUUUAUUGUUUGGUUUCAUUAAAACAUCACAUGUAUUUUUCUUUUUAAUUAUAGGAAGUUUAGAGUGCU